Non-coding RNA from Arachis ipaensis, 366 nucleotides. The record is from RefSeq and is a predicted model, not a curated record. NCBI's taxonomy places the organism in Eukaryota, Viridiplantae, Streptophyta, Magnoliopsida, Fabales, Fabaceae.
UGAACUAGAAGCAUAAGAAAAAAGCGAAGAACCAUGCUUUGAAAGUGUCUUGUUUUCAAUGCUAUAGGUAGAGGAUGAAGCAUGAGUUAAGAAAGCGCUUGUGACACUAUGUGAACUUCACAGAAGAAAAGAUUGGUUUCACGAGAGAACAACUAAUAUAGUGUUCACUAUUUGUUUCCAUCCAGCACCAAGGAUCAUGAAAGCAUCUUUAUCGUCUCAAUAUGAACAAGACUAAGCAGCAAAGGUAGAAUUUGAUUCACAGAGAGGCGAUGGGUGUGAUUCUCAAGUGUCAGAUCAUUAGUGAUUUGAUUUUCUAAUGUAACAAUAUAGCUUUAAGAUAAUUCUGUUACAGUAAAGAGAUUUUAU